Molecule: ribosomal RNA, 253 nt
Filed under: uncultured bacterium
Lineage: Bacteria
Description: partial 16S ribosomal RNA
Rfam family: Bacterial small subunit ribosomal RNA
Source: RNAcentral
UACGUAGGGACCGAGCGUUGUCCGGAAUUAUUGGGCGUAAAGAGCUUGUAGGCGGUUUGUCGCGUCUGCUGUGAAAUUUCGGGGCUCAACCCCGAACUUGCAGUGGGUACGGGCAGACUAGAGUGUGGUAGGGGAGACUGGAAUUCCUGGUGUAGCGGUGAAAUGCGCAGAUAUCAGGAGGAACACCGAUGGCGAAGGCAGGUCUCUGGGCCAUAACUGACGCUGAGAAGCGAAAGCAUGGGGAGCGAACAGG